This 534-nucleotide ribosomal RNA is filed under the name Halomonas sp. RNAcentral describes it as "bacterial SSU rRNA". It matches the Rfam family "Bacterial small subunit ribosomal RNA", at positions 381 to 907 of the family's 1533-position model. Lineage: Bacteria; Pseudomonadati; Pseudomonadota; Gammaproteobacteria; Oceanospirillales; Halomonadaceae. The record is from RNAcentral.
ACCUGAUCCAGCCAUGCCGCGUGUGUGAAGAAGGCCCUCGGGUUGUAAAGCACUUUCAGCGAGGAAGAACGCCUAGCGGUUAAUACCCGCUAGGAAAGACAUCACUCGCAGAAGAAGCACCGGCUAACUCCGUGCCAGCAGCCGCGGUAAUACGGAGGGUGCAAGCGUUAAUCGGAAUUACUGGGCGUAAAGCGCGCGUAGGUGGCUUGAUAAGCCGGUUGUGAAAGCCCCGGGCUCAACCUGGGAACGGCAUCCGGAACUGUCAAGCUAGAGUGCAGGAGAGGAAGGUAGAAUUCCCGGUGUAGCGGUGAAAUGCGUAGAGAUCGGGAGGAAUACCAGUGGCGAAGGCGGCCUUCUGGACUGACACUGACACUGAGGUGCGAAAGCGUGGGUAGCAAACAGGAUUAGAUACCCUGGUAGUCCACGCCGUAAACGAUGUCGACCAGCCGUUGGGUGCCUAGCGCACUUUGUGGCGAAGUUAACGCGAUAAGUCGACCGCCUGGGGAGUACGGCCGCAAGGUUAAAACUCAAAUG